RNAcentral lists this ribosomal RNA (408 nucleotides) under uncultured bacterium. Its description in RNAcentral is "partial 16S ribosomal RNA". It matches the Rfam family "Bacterial small subunit ribosomal RNA", at positions 28 to 526 of the family's 1533-position model. The record is from RNAcentral.
GACGAACGCUGGCGGCGUGCUUAACACAUGCAAGUCGAACGAAGUGGCGAACGGGUGAGUAACGCGUAAUCAACCUGCCCUUCAGCGGGGGACCACAGUUGGAAACGACUGCUAAUACCUCAUACUGAAGGAGGGGCUUGCGUCUGAUUAGCUAGUUGGAGGGGUAACGGCCCACCAAGGCGAGGAUCAGUAGCCGGUCUGGGAGGAUAAACGGCCACAAUGGGACUGAGACACGGCCCAGACUCCGACGGGAGGCAGCAGUGGGGAAUCUUCCGCCAUGGACGAAAGUCGGACGGAGCAACGCCGCGGGAGUGAUGACGGCCUUCGGGUUGUAAAGCUCUGUUAAUCGGGACGCGGUACCGGAAUAGAAAGCCACGGCUAACUACGUGCCAGCAGCCGCGGUAAUAC